UGGCUAAAAAAUAGAAGGAAGUGCACGGUAAAAGGAAUUUGGCAACAUCCAAAUAAGCACAUGGGUUUGAACGUAAAAGUGGGUUUGGACGUGAAAGGGGGAAGCAAGUCAUUCAUAUCUUGAAUUUUAAAGCACAAUUAUUGGUUUGCAACCAACACACCACACGGCCUAAGGCAGCCAGCCACACAAAGGGGAAUCUUCUUUCUCUUUUAGAAAGUAGCAGACACCACAAUAGAAAAAGGGGGACCACCACUUGUUGAAGGGAGGCCACGCACAUGGAAGGGGAGCACACGGUAUUUUCAUUCUUUUUCUUUCAAGAAAAAGCAAUUUGAUUCUAUGAGCUGAAUGGUGGUGUCACGGCUAGCAAGAAGAAGUGGUGCCAUGGCUGGAAUAACGUGCACACGUUGGACUUCUUUGGGAGAGGUGUUUCGUUAUUGGAGAGCUGCUGCCACGGCUGGAUGGAGAGGAAGCACACUGCUGAUUUCAAUUAGCAUGUGGUGGAGAAGCGUCCAGCAGCCUUGAAGAAGACAGCACACGUCCAAGAGGAGCUUGGAGGGAGUGUCACGGCCUUGGUCCAGCAGGAGCAGCUUUGGUGAGGUGCUGCACGGUGAUUCAAAAGGGAGGCAGCACAGCAUCAUCGUCCAGCACGCUCCAGCUUCACGGUCCAACAGCAACGGGUGGUGUCCAUUGUAGAAGCAAUUCCAAUUUACUUUUGGCUUGAGGAGAGCACAUGGGUCACGAGAAAUGGGUGUGCACGUUGCUUAUGUGGAGAAGUAAUAUUUCAAUUGCAAGUGUUAAUAAAAUGGUAAUGGAUGUUGGAAAGGCACGCUGCUGGAAGAGGGAAAUGGUUCCCAUUUCUAUUUUUCUUAGAAUGAAACCCAUGGAAGCUUAACAUGUCACUGCUAAAGAGGAUUUUCUUUUAGAAGCUUUUAAAAUUUCAAUUUCUUUUAAAGAGAUGCUGUUAUGUUUUGGGUGAGGAAAGGUAAGGUGAUACAUUUAAUUUAAGUGAUUUAAUUUAGAGGAAGGGCAUGGCUGCCACGUCCAACUACAA
Molecule: long non-coding RNA, 1051 nt
Organism: Vigna angularis (adzuki bean)
Lineage: Eukaryota; Viridiplantae; Streptophyta; Magnoliopsida; Fabales; Fabaceae
Exons: 2
Source: RefSeq, a predicted model, not a curated record